AUUGAACGCUGGCGGCAUGCUUUACACAUGCAAGUCGAACGGUAACAGGUUAAGCUGACGAGUGGCGAACGGGUGAGUAAUGCAUCGGAACGUGCCCGAUCGUGGGGGAUAACGCAGCGAAAGCUGCGCUAAUACCGCAUACGAUCUGAGGAUGAAAGCGGGGGACCGAAAGGCCUCGCGCGAUCGGAGCGGCCGAUGUCAGAUUAGGUAGUUGGUGGGGUAAAGGCUCACCAAGCCAACGAUCUGUAGCUGGUCUGAGGGGACGACCAGCCACACUGGGACUGAGACACGGCCCAGACUCCUACGGGAGGCAGCAGUGGGGAAUUUUGGACAAUGGGCGAAAGCCUGAUCCAGCAAUGCCGCGUGCAGGAAGAAGGCCUUCGGGUUGUAAACUGCUUUUGUACGGAGCGAAAAGGCCCUCUCUAAUACAGUGGGCUCAUGACGGUACCGUAAGAAUAAGCACCGGCUAACUGCGUGCCAGCAGCCGCCGUAA
Molecule: ribosomal RNA, 493 nt
Filed under: uncultured bacterium
Lineage: Bacteria
Description: partial 16S ribosomal RNA
Rfam family: Bacterial small subunit ribosomal RNA
Source: RNAcentral